AUUGAACGCUGGCGGCAUGCCUUACACAUGCAAGUCGAACGGCAGCACGGGAGCUUGCUCCUGGUGGCGAGUGGCGAACGGGUGAGUAAUGCAUCGGAACGUGCCCUGAAGUGGGGGAUAACGUAGCGAAAGUUACGCUAAUACCGCAUAUUCUGUGAGCAGGAAAGCAGGGGAUCUUCGGACCUUGCGCUUUUGGAGCGGCCGAUGUCGGAUUAGCUAGUUGGUGGGGUAAAGGCCCACCAAGGCGACGAUCCGUAGCGGGUCUGAGAGGAUGAUCCGCCACACUGGAACUGAGACACGGUCCAGACUCCUACGGGAGGCAGCAGUGGGGAAUUUUGGACAAUGGGCGCAAGCCUGAUCCAGCCAUGCCGCGUGAGUGAAGAAGGUCUUCGGGUUGUAAAGCUCUUUCGGUGGGGAAGAAAUUGCUUGGGUUAAUACCCUGAGUAGAUGACGGUACCCGCAUAAGAAGCACCGGCUAACUACGUGCCAGCAGCCGCGGUAAUC
This 504-nucleotide ribosomal RNA is filed under the name uncultured bacterium. RNAcentral describes it as "bacterial SSU rRNA". It matches the Rfam family "Bacterial small subunit ribosomal RNA", at positions 30 to 525 of the family's 1533-position model. The record is from RNAcentral.